Molecule: long non-coding RNA, 896 nt
Organism: Mastomys coucha (southern multimammate mouse)
Lineage: Eukaryota; Metazoa; Chordata; Mammalia; Rodentia; Muridae
Exons: 3
Source: RefSeq, a predicted model, not a curated record
UUUGCCAUCUCCUCCCUCUCUUGCUUUUAGUCUCUUGCUCCCUCUCUUACCUCUUACUCCCUUACCUCUUAUUCUCGUGCUCUCACUCUUGCUCCCCUGCUCCAGAUCUUUCCCCAUCCCUUUCCCCCCUCUCUCCACGUGGCUAUGGCUGGCCUCUACUUCUCCACUCUCUCGUCCUCUCUGCAUUUCUACAAUAAACUCCUUAAAACCACGGACUGCCUCUUCUCAUCAUCAGGAUCCGCUGUGCAAUGGAACAGGUCUUCCGCCAACGAGCCGCACUUCUAACCUCUUACCCGGAGGCCUCCCUGUGCUCCAGCCAUGGCUUCUGCCAACCCAAGCGGCCAACUGAGCUAUCCAGACUCUCUUGUCCCUGAGCCAUGAUGCCUGUGACCUUCCAGUACACAAUCCCUCUACAGUGUUUUGGCUUCACCUUUGAUUAUACCCUGGUUUUCUGGAAUCAUCACAAAAGUUUAUAGAGCUAUUUGUAUUCCAGAGUCACCACAGAACCUCAAGAUAACAUAACUACAGUACCUGCUUGUCAACCUGCCAAUGCUGCAGUGCACAAUGGAAUCCAGAGGAAGUAGCCUCCUUCCCUGCUGGACCAGAAUUUUGCUUCCACCAAACCAUCCCAUAGCUUCUCCAGCAAAAAAACUUCCAUUAAUCUUUCUCUCUAUCAAAAUUCCUUGGAAAAAUGAAUCAUAGAUUUUUGUCCCUGAAGAAAGAGGCCCAGAGGGCUACAUGAAUACUGCAGACACAGUUUCUCAUCAUUGAUAAAAUUUACUGGUAAAAUUCACCAACCAGUUUAACAUGGAAUGUUACUAGACAUUCAACAAAUCCAAGGCUCAGCCCAUGAAAACUCAGCUAAUGUAAAUAAACAUGGAAAAUCUCCCUUUCAA